Long non-coding RNA from Salvia miltiorrhiza (redroot sage), 630 nucleotides. RefSeq lists it as uncharacterized. The transcript is spliced from 2 exons. The record is from RefSeq and is a predicted model, not a curated record. Lineage: Eukaryota; Viridiplantae; Streptophyta; Magnoliopsida; Lamiales; Lamiaceae.
GUGCAUGAUUAUUAUCUCUUAUGUGAACAUGUGAAUUUCUAAAUGAUAUUAAGUUUAAGGAUGUUGAAUUCUUUUAUUUCGUUUGUUAUGUGGUUACGUGAUAUUAUGUGGUUAGUCGAUGUUAUGUUGGUUUUUGAUUGUUUUAAUCGAAAUGAAUUAUGGAUGCUAGAACCCUAAAACACUAAAAGAUACCCUAGGCACGUAGAAUUAGACUAUGUCUUGUGACAAUUUUCUUCACGAACUUACCGACUCUUCAUCAAUAAAGGUUCGGGCGACAGGAAGUGAAGCCGAAGAAGAAGCGACUCCACGCUAGCUUAAGAACGUUUGAGGUUGAGCAGCUGAUUGAAUGGAAUGGUGUUGAGCGGGUGUUCCUUUGAUCAUUUCAAGAAAUGUAACCUUGAGUAUACAUCUUCAUAUGUAUAUCUCACACGUUUUCCGCUGCAAAACACUUUGAUUAGGAUAACUCUAUGUUAUGAAGUUGUGACACGUGAUAUUGGGUAACCCACCUUAAUCAGUUCUCCUUUAUGUGUAUGUGUUAUAAGUAUCCAAAUGAUCAUAUAUGAUCCUAGCAUUUUAUCUAUGAGUGACAUUUCCAUAUACUUUAAUGUUAAUUAAUUAUCCAUUUCCGUU